UCUUCUUUAGUUAGCUCUUGUAACCACUGUUUUGGUAUUGUUUUCAUUAAUUUAGAAUAUUCUGAAAACCAGUUAGCAUGACAGGAAAGUUUAUCUAAGAUCAUGUUUUGAUUAAAUUUUCCUUUAUUAUCAAUAAUGUCAUUUAAAAAAAGAAUUUUACUGUUUAUCCAGUUUUUGAAAAUGAGACAUUUACCGUUUAAUUUGAUAUUUGUAUUGCCCCAUAUAAGCUGCUGUCUAAUUUG
This 242-nucleotide long non-coding RNA is filed under the name Mytilus galloprovincialis (Mediterranean mussel). Lineage: Eukaryota; Metazoa; Mollusca; Bivalvia; Mytilida; Mytilidae. The record is from RNAcentral.